This is a non-coding RNA of Podarcis muralis (Common wall lizard), 362 nucleotides long. NCBI's taxonomy places the organism in Eukaryota, Metazoa, Chordata, Lepidosauria, Squamata, Lacertidae. The record is from RefSeq and is a predicted model, not a curated record.
CCUCGGUCUGAUCGCUUCUGGGUCUUCAGGAGGCAGACCCAAGGCCCGUCCAUCACACUCCAGUUAACAUUACACUAUUUGUGUUUUAAUAGGCCUGAGCUUCAAUAAGUCUGCCAAAGGAUGGCUUGCAGCUACCAUUUGUUUUGUCCCUGACACUGAAGAUCGCAUUGGCUAGGACAAGCCUAAGGAACCAUCCCACACAACUCCUGAACCUGGAUGAGAGAGUGUAGUCCCUGAAACCACGUUGGUGAGAUGCCAGAAUACUUGCCUCCAAGGGCAUCACACACAAGAACAUUUUCUCCAAGCAGUAGCAGUGGUAUAGCUCCCUCCCUCCUCCACCAUCACCAGCUAUAUGAAUUGGG